Molecule: ribosomal RNA, 244 nt
Filed under: uncultured bacterium
Lineage: Bacteria
Description: partial 16S ribosomal RNA
Rfam family: Bacterial small subunit ribosomal RNA
Source: RNAcentral
UGAGUGGCGAACGGGUGAGUAACACGUGAGUAACCUGCCCUCUUCUUUGGGAUAACGCCCGGAAACGGGUGCUAAUACUGGAUAUUCACUGAUCCUCGCAUGGGGGUUGGUGGAAAGGUUUUUUCUGGUGGGGGAUGGGCUCGCGGCCUAUCAGCUUGUUGGUGGGGUGAUGGCCUACCAAGGCUUUGACGGGUAGCCGGCCUGAGAGGGUGACCGGUCACAUUGGGACUGAGAUACGGCCCAG